Molecule: non-coding RNA, 25 nt
Filed under: Cricetulus griseus (Chinese hamster)
Lineage: Eukaryota; Metazoa; Chordata; Mammalia; Rodentia; Cricetidae
Source: RNAcentral
GUAGAUGCAGAGGGAACAGCUCCUU